UAAAGUUCCAUCUCCAAGCAUUAUGAAAUCAAAAUGAGUCAUUGUUUGACUCUUCUCUCACUUCUCACUUCUCUCACAAUUUCAUUAUGCUUCAGAAGCAUAAUGAAAUCAAAAUGAGUCAUUGUUUGACUCAUCUCUUACUUCUCACUUCUCUCACAAUUUCAUCAUGCUUCAGAAGCAUAAUGAAAUCAAAAUGAGUCAUUGUUUGACUGUUCUUGAUUUCAUAAUGCUUGGAUGUGGAACUUUAUCUGGGAUCCAUUACUUGAACUUCUGCUGGUGUCUACAGUGAAUCAUGAAAAACUCUUCAGGUAAAAAAGAUUAAAGUUUAUGUGCGUAUAUAUUGUAGAAACCCAGGCACAAGACGGUGGAUGGAGACGUUAGUAGGAGACUUAGAACAUUAGCAAUAACAUAAGAUAAUUGAAGUCACCAGCUUGGCCAAGUGGUUAGGUCGCGAGACUUAAGUUUUCGUCUCUCUAUAGAGACGUGAGUGCGAUUCUCACACCUGGUAGCUUUCUUGUCCUUAUUCAUACGUGGUAUUCAUUUAAUAGAGUUGCCUUAAAUCAUAAGAUAAAUAGAAGUUUAUGAUUGAAAUAUGGAACGAGAAAGGUGAGGUUGUUAUCUCCGUAUUCCAUUUGUACACACUGAGCAAGAGAUGACAUGGUCAUGAGCGAGAUGUUACCUUUUUUCAAGCGCAUCUGUGUUUAACAUCUGCAGGAAUAAAAAGCCGGUAAUCACGACAAUAUUGCCGUUGUUACACUGGACUUAGAAGUGCUCGCCAGCUCUGUCACUCCCGUCCAGUUGGGGUACACAUUAUUCCCGAGAAUCGGAAUUGAUCAGUUGGUCACCGUCGGCUGGGGCAACUCAGCAACUACGGUAUCGACCCCGGAUUCUUAUGACACGAAAGUCUUAUUCACACCUAACGUAUCAACUGUAACUUAACUCAUGAAGGGGUUAAUCGAAAUGUCUCCUCAUAAAGUCAUAAUUUGGCUCAAGCGGAUAAACAACGCAUUGAGUUUGAGGAACCAGUUUGCCAUCUUCGAAGACAAGCACCUUUGAUUUGUCAUUUAGGGUGCAUUUUAUCGUCAACUUUAUGGCAACAGGUUACGCCACGAUAAAAAAAAAAUAAUUUUUUUUCACUCAACCUUUUUUUUUUUUUUGUAAUUGCUUCUAUCUAGCGCUCGAUUUUUAACUCGGUUUCCUAAGUCAGAGAAAAUAUUUUAACGGAGUGUCCACGUUGCUCAGUCUCUCCAACUGCAUUCAACUGUUCAUAUUGCUUAGUCUAUCAUAUUGCAAGCCUAUUAAUUGCCUUUAAUUCAGGUAAUUCAUCCACAUUGUCUGGGAAGGCAGUAGUUGGUAAGUCAUUGGCCAUUACAAAAUGGAAAAAUUUUCUUUUUGUAUUAUGCAAUAUGGCAUUGCAGUCCAAGUGUCCAGAUUUGGUGAUUCUAUCCAACAGCAUUCCAUUGUCCACCUUGCUGAGCUUAUCAAGUACAAUCCUGCUUAUUGCCUUGGCAUCAGUUAUUUCAUACACAUUGUCUGAAGGCAGUAGUUGUGUGGCAUUGCAGUCCAAGUGUCCAUAUUUGCUGAGCCUAUCCGACAGCAUUCCGGUGUCCACCUUGCUGAACCUAUCCAACAGCAUUCAAGUGUUCACCAAAGCACUCGAUCGACGUAAAAAAGAUCUCAUAAACAAUAUUCAACGAGAAAAUGUAAUUCCAGAACAAGCACACGAAAUAGAUCGACGUCAAGGACAAGUUCUCAUGUGUAUCGUUCUGCAAUGCAACCGUACUCUAGGAAAACAUCACGAAGCAGAGAAACUUUAAGAAGCUAUCACAAAAAUGGUUCCUCAAGAACAUCUAGAUCAAAAAAUCGCUACUUUAGUACUCGAUCACCAUCAAGAAGUUCUCUUAAAAAUGGUUCACUGAGAAACUCCAGAAACAACUCAAGGAGAAGAUCGACGUCAAGGUCAAGUUCUGACAUGUCUGCUUCCAUAAGACCAUGGUAUUGUAGGGAAAGAUCAUGAACAUCGGGAGAACAUCUAAGUCGAGAAAACGCUACACAAGUGUGAAGAAGUGAGAAUACAAUCUGUAUUGG
Molecule: long non-coding RNA, 2088 nt
Organism: Daphnia magna
Lineage: Eukaryota; Metazoa; Arthropoda; Branchiopoda; Diplostraca; Daphniidae
Exons: 5
Source: RefSeq, a predicted model, not a curated record